ACAUACGACCAUAGCCUGCGGAAAAUACGGGGUCCCGUCUGCUCCCCCCUAGUCAAGCCGCAGAGCGCUGGAUUAGUAGUACGGUGGGUGACCACGUGCGAAUACCCGGUGUUGUAUGUUUUC
RNAcentral lists this ribosomal RNA (123 nucleotides) under Thielaviopsis punctulata. Lineage: Eukaryota; Fungi; Ascomycota; Sordariomycetes; Microascales; Ceratocystidaceae. The record is from RNAcentral.